RNAcentral lists this ribosomal RNA (495 nucleotides) under uncultured bacterium. RNAcentral's name for it is "partial 16S ribosomal RNA". It matches the Rfam family "Bacterial small subunit ribosomal RNA", at positions 30 to 507 of the family's 1533-position model. The record is from RNAcentral.
UGAACGCUGGCGGCGUGCCUAAUACAUGCAAGUCGAGCGAACAGAUGAGGAGCUUGCUCCUCUGACGUUAGCGGCGGACGGGUGAGUAACACGUGGAUAACCUACCUAUAAGACUGGGAUAACUUCGGGAAACCGGAGCUAAUACCGGAUAAUAUAUUGAACCGCAUGGUUCACUAGUGAAAGACGGUUUUGCUGUCACUUAUAGAUGGAUCCGCGCCGCAUUAGCUAGUUGGUAAGGUAACGGCUUACCAAGGCAACGAUGCGUAGCCGACCUGAGAGGGUGAUCGGCCACACUGGAACUGAGACACGGUCCAGACUCCUACGGGAGGCAGCAGUAGGGAAUCUUCCGCAAUGGGCGAAAGCCUGACGGAGCAACGCCGCGUGAGUGAUGAAGGUCUUCGGAUCGUAAAACUCUGUUAUUAGGGAAGAACAAAUGUGUAAGUAACUAUGCACGUCUUGACGGUACCUAAUCAGAAAGCCACGGCUAACUACGUG